Molecule: long non-coding RNA, 1061 nt
Filed under: Homo sapiens (human)
Lineage: Eukaryota; Metazoa; Chordata; Mammalia; Primates; Hominidae
Description: HSALNT0377972
Source: RNAcentral
CAGAACUCACAAGUGGCCAGGCCAGCAUUGGAAGCCAGCUCUGCCUGCCCGCACAGGCCUGGACGCCCAGCCACAACCUGGUGUCCCCUCUGCCCAGCUCUCGCCUUGGCUCUCAAGAUGGGGUCUCACUAUGUUGCCCAAGCUAGUCUCUAGCUCCUGGACUCAAGUAAUCCUCCUGCCUCAGCCUCCCAACAUGCCGGGAUUACUGGUGUGAACCAACGCAUCUGGGACACUUGAUCCUUUCGACAACCUGAUCAUUAAUGAAGAUGUGAAGUGAGACACCAAUCCUCACAGCCCCCACCACGUGCUCCCUCCCAUGCCUGGCGCUGCUGGAGUCAUUAUCCUUCCUGGUGUGACAGGGUCAGAACCAAACCAAUUUGCAUCAGUCUUUGGUGAUGUUGUGAAGCGUCGCCUGCCCUGCAAUCCUGCUGCUGUAACAACUGCUUCAGCUGUCUGUUCUGGAGUGCUCUUCGCUCCUUUGGAAGACUGAUCAGAUCUGGCCACCCCAGUUCUGGCUGAAAGCCCUAGAGCGACCGCAAUGGUAGGGCAGGAUUCAGGGCUACACAUGGCUGACAUUGUUCCUUCUUCGUUUUGCUCUUCUGAGCUGGACAGAAAGCAGUCCCUCUUUGGAAAACAGGAUGGACAAGUGCAUACAUUAGUGGAGGACGCAGCAGAUGUGGCAGGCAUAGAAUUUUACUCAUUGCUCCAUCUAUUUCUAUCAAGGAAAAUGGGGAGUGCUCCCAAUUUCCGCCCAUUUUCUAGCCCAGGCCUAGUCAGAUGUGUGGGCUUGUAUAUUCUGGGAACCUGGGGCUGAUGUGGUCAAGUCACUUCUUGGGGACAAGGUCAAUUCUUCUCCAUUUUCUCAUGUCAUUUGGUCCUGAGGGUUUUAUAUCUUCUUUAGCAAUUCCAUGACUAUGCUUCUCAUCCUGCAGGGAAACUGACUUUAUAUACACACUUGUCUCCCAAUAAAAGUGAGAACCACCUCCUACAUAUCCCUUGUGUCUUCCAGACUCCAACUCAGAUGAAAUGCACUUCCUUCUCUUUCCUGAUUGUGCAGCGCC